AAAUGUUCCAUGAUAAUGGGUUAGGUAAAUGUUUCAUGAUAAUGGGUUAGGUAAAUGUUUCAUGAUAAGAAUUUCAUGUCUUUUGUAUUAAAGAAUUAAAUGGAUGAAAUAUGAAGUUUUAUUAAAAGAAAAAGGGGUGAAAAGAACAAAGUUUUGUCCAUCUUUGUUCAUCAUAGCUGAAAGUUAGAGAAGAGAAAGGAGAGGAGAAAGCUCUUGAGUAUUUGGUCAUUAGGAGGAGGAAAAUUGAAGGCGGUUCGUGUGUGGAUCUCGUCAGCAUAUCGUUGCAAACAGG
This is a long non-coding RNA of Gossypium arboreum, 292 nucleotides long. RefSeq lists it as uncharacterized. The record is from RefSeq and is a predicted model, not a curated record. NCBI's taxonomy places the organism in Eukaryota, Viridiplantae, Streptophyta, Magnoliopsida, Malvales, Malvaceae. The transcript has 2 exons.